RNAcentral lists this transfer RNA (64 nucleotides) under Xylocopa appendiculata. Its description in RNAcentral is "tRNA-His". The record is from RNAcentral. Lineage: Eukaryota; Metazoa; Arthropoda; Insecta; Hymenoptera; Apidae.
AUUUAAAUAGUUUAAAUUUAAAAUAUUGAAUUGUGAUUUCAAUGAUGUUUAAAAACUUUAAAUU